GCGGGGGUUGCCAAGUUAGGUCAACGGCGCAGCGUUGAGGGCGCUGUCCCAUAGGGGUUCCGGGGUUCAAAUCCCCGCCCCCGCACCA
This 88-nucleotide transfer RNA is filed under the name Hadesarchaea archaeon. RNAcentral's name for it is "tRNA-Leu". The record is from RNAcentral. Lineage: Archaea; Methanobacteriati; Hadarchaeota (SeqCode); Hadarchaeia (SeqCode).